CCCUUAGAUGUUCUGGGCCGCACGCGCGCUACACUGACGAAUGCAACGAGCUUAUAACCUUGGCCGAAAGGUCUGGGUAAUCUCCAAAUUUCGUCGUGAUGGGGAUAGAUUAUUGCAAUUAUUAAUCUUCAACGAGGAAUGCCUAGUAAGCGCAAGUCAUCAGCUUGCGUUGAUUACGUCCCUGCCCUUUGUACACACCGCCCGUCGCUCCUACCGGUUGAAUGGUCCGGUGAAGCGCUCGGACCGCGGCCUCUUGACGGUUUUCCGUCGAUUGGCUGUGGGAAGUUCGUUAAACCUUAUCAUUUAGAGGAAGGAGAANUCGUAACA
This 327-nucleotide ribosomal RNA is filed under the name uncultured eukaryote. Its description in RNAcentral is "partial 18S ribosomal RNA". It matches the Rfam family "Eukaryotic small subunit ribosomal RNA", at positions 1470 to 1796 of the family's 1831-position model. The record is from RNAcentral.